Molecule: non-coding RNA, 73 nt
Organism: Ictidomys tridecemlineatus (thirteen-lined ground squirrel)
Lineage: Eukaryota; Metazoa; Chordata; Mammalia; Rodentia; Sciuridae
Source: Rfam
GGGGGUGUAGCUCAGUGGUAGAGUGCUUGCCUAGCAUGCAUGAGGCCCUGAGUUCAUAUUCCCAGCAUUACCA